CAAGAAACUGUACUGGAAAUCUACAAUAACUCAUGGAGGGAGGAAAUGUCUUACAGAAGAGGCAUUAGAUCGAACAUCCGGUGGUGUUUUCUCCCCCUCGGUUUCUGGAAAACUGUAUACUUUCAUUUAUAAACACUAUGCCCAGACCCCAAAGUAGGAAUCAGGAGCUCCUUUGAGGACAUGCAACCCUUCUCAGCAGUCUCACAUAACAGCAUGAGGUGCUCAAAAAGGGCCAGUGUGCAGCAGUGAGUGCCAGUCUGAAUGAAGGAAGCAUGCAUGGCCUGGAGCCUCACCGUGUUCCAGGCAUCCAGAACAAGUUCUCACAUGGGAACCCGAGCAAAGUGUUAACGGAUGUUCCCAGGAGCUGCCUAUGGGAUUGAAGAAACACGUAUGAGAGGAGUAACCUUUGGACUGGCAGCGAAGAUACAAGUAAAUAUAUGUCAAAUAGGUUUUCCAGGGGCAGCUGAAUUCCUCACAAGGCUUCGAGUUGAUCACACCCAUUUUGUGUCUGAUGACCGCUGGCCGCACGGGACGAGCAGGCAGGUGUUUUCUCUCUGGCUAAUCCAUGGAGCAGGCCGCGUGGAGACAGGCCUGUGUGAAAUUGCUUUUCACACCAUGAGGGAGCUGGGAUGAUCUCUCAACAGUAUAACUGCACGUGCACACUGACUGGAAUAUUUUCAUUUCAGAAAGGAUUGGAGCAAAGUUCUCAUUUCUCAUCAGAGAUACACUGGAGUAGGCAGAAGUCUUUCUGUUCCCCUUAACAAGGUUGAGGGAAGAAUGCAGAAACAGUGCAAGAAACAGAUUAGACUUAAGAAGUAAAGCAACUUCCCUGACAUACUCAGAUUUAUGGCUUUAAUUAGGAAGGCCAACAACCAGGGUCAUAGGAAAAGUAGAGGAAUGACAGACCUGGAUUCAAAUAUCAUUUCUACAACUUGUUAAUUGUAAGAUUUGGGCCAAGAACCUCGAACAGACUUCGUUUCCAGUGGGAACAGUCGUUCCAUCAAAACUGGUUGAAGUUCAAUGUAGCAGAACUUGUAACGAAGCCUGUUUACUCUGUACAAAUGAGUCAUGAUUCCUCACUGACAUGGUUUGGAUCUGUGUCCCGGCCCAAAUCUCGUAUGGAAUUGUAAUCCCCCAUGUUAAAGUUGGAGGCUGGUGGGAGGCGAUUUUGGGGGUGGAUUUUCCUCUUGGUGCUGUUCUAGUGAUAGUGAGUUCUCAUGAGAUCUGGUUGUUUAAAAGCGUGUGGCCCCUCCCUGCUCUCUCUUGCUCCUGCUCCUCUAUGUAAAACACCUGCUCCUCUAUGUAAAACACCUGCUCCCUCUUUGCCUUCCACCACAAUUGGAAGCUCCCUGAG
RNAcentral lists this long non-coding RNA (1354 nucleotides) under Rhinopithecus bieti (black snub-nosed monkey). Its description in RNAcentral is "lncRNA (ENSRBIG00000045711.1)". The record is from RNAcentral. Lineage: Eukaryota; Metazoa; Chordata; Mammalia; Primates; Cercopithecidae.